GUAGUCUCGCACAGAUGCAUAUCAAUAAGCGGAGGAAAAGGAACUAACAAGGAUUCCCUAGUAACGGCGAGUGAAGCGGGAAGAGCUCAAAUUUGAAAUCUUAAAGGUUUUCCCUUGACGAAUUGUAGUUUAAAGAAGUGUUUUCUGUUGAAGGUCUUGGUAAAAGUUCUUUGGAAUAGGACAUCAUAGAGGGUGAGAAUCCCGUAUUUGACCUUUACUUUCAACUUUGUGAUACACUUUCAAAGAGUCGGAUUGUUUGGGAAUGCAGUCCAAAAUGGGUGGUAAAUUUCAUCUAAAGCUAAAUAUUGGCGAGAGACCGAUAGCGAACAAGUACCGUGAGGGAAAGAUGAAAAGAACUUUGAAAAGAGAGUUAAACAGUACGUGAAAUUGUCAAAAGGGAAGCGUUUGACACCAGUGUUGUUUUUCUGAAAAUCAAUUAAAGAACUGUUUAUGCUAAGUUGUUUAGACUUUAUCAGCUAACUGUUUAGUUUUGAGCUUUUCUUUAAUGCACUUUUCAGUUAACAAGUCAACAUCAAUUUCUUUUGCUGUAAAAAAGCUUGAGGAAGGUGGCUUGAGAUUCGUCUUAAGUGUUUAUAGCCUCUUGCCUAUGCAGUCGGAGAGAUUGAGGCCUGCAGCGUAGAUCCUUCGGGGCUAAAUGCAUUUGUGCUAAGUUAUAGCACUUUAUAGACAACUUGUUGACUAUGAUUUGUCUUGUAGCUUACUCGCUUAUGUUAUUUUACCUACGCUUAGGAUGUUGAUGUGAUACUGCGAGC
This 773-nucleotide ribosomal RNA is filed under the name uncultured Neocallimastigales. RNAcentral's name for it is "partial large subunit ribosomal RNA". It matches the Rfam family "Eukaryotic large subunit ribosomal RNA", at positions 24 to 645 of the family's 3401-position model. Lineage: Eukaryota; Fungi; Neocallimastigomycota; Neocallimastigomycetes; Neocallimastigales. The record is from RNAcentral.